Molecule: ribosomal RNA, 462 nt
Filed under: uncultured Roseovarius sp.
Lineage: Bacteria; Pseudomonadati; Pseudomonadota; Alphaproteobacteria; Rhodobacterales; Roseobacteraceae
Description: bacterial SSU rRNA
Rfam family: Bacterial small subunit ribosomal RNA
Source: RNAcentral
AGCGAGACCUUCGGGUCUAGCGGCGGACGGGUUAGUAACGCGUGGGAACGUACCCUUUUCUACGGAAUAGCCUUUGGAAACGAAGAGUAAUACCGUAUACGCCCUUCGGGGGAAAGAUUUAUCGGAGAAGGAUCGGCCCGCGUUAGAUUAGAUAGUUGGUGGGGUAAUGGCUUACCAAGUCUACGAUCUAUAGCUGGUUUUAGAGGAUGAUCAGCAACACUGGGACUGAGACACGGCCCAGACUCCUACGGGAGGCAGCAGUGGGGAAUCUUAGACAAUGGGCGCAAGCCUGAUCUAGCCAUGCCGCGUGAGUGAAGAAGGCCUUAGGGUCGUAAAGCUCUUUCGCCAGGGAUGAUAAUGACAGUACCUGGUAAAGAAACCCCGGCUAACUCCGUGCCAGCAGCCGCGGUAAUACGGAGGGGGUUAGCGUUGUUCGGAAUUACUGGGCGUAAAGCGCACGUA